RNAcentral lists this ribosomal RNA (2900 nucleotides) under Klebsiella pneumoniae. Its description in RNAcentral is "bacterial LSU rRNA". It matches the Rfam family "Bacterial large subunit ribosomal RNA". The record is from RNAcentral. Lineage: Bacteria; Pseudomonadati; Pseudomonadota; Gammaproteobacteria; Enterobacterales; Enterobacteriaceae.
UUAAGCGACUAAGCGUACACGGUGGAUGCCCUGGCAGUCAGAGGCGAUGAAGGACGUGCUAAUCUGCGAAAAGCGUCGGUAAGGUGAUAUGAACCGUUAUAACCGGCGAUGUCCGAAUGGGGAAACCCAGUGCAAUUCGUUGCACUAUCGUUAACUGAAUACAUAGGUUAACGAGGCGAACCGGGGGAACUGAAACAUCUAAGUACCCCGAGGAAAAGAAAUCAACCGAGAUUCCCCCAGUAGCGGCGAGCGAACGGGGAGCAGCCCAGAGUCUGAAUCAGCUUGUGUGUUAGUGGAACGGUCUGGAAAGUCCGACGGUACAGGGUGAUAGUCCCGUACACCAAAAUGCACAGGCUGUGAACUCGAAGAGUAGGGCGGGACACGUGGUAUCCUGUCUGAAUAUGGGGGGACCAUCCUCCAAGGCUAAAUACUCCUGACUGACCGAUAGUGAACCAGUACCGUGAGGGAAAGGCGAAAAGAACCCCGGCGAGGGGAGUGAAAAAGAACCUGAAACCGUGUACGUACAAGCAGUGGGAGCACCUUCGGGUGUGACUGCGUACCUUUUGUAUAAUGGGUCAGCGACUUAUAUUCUGUAGCAAGGUUAACCGUAUAGGGGAGCCGCAGGGAAACCGAGUCUUAACUGGGCGUUAAGUUGCAGGGUAUAGACCCGAAACCCGGUGAUCUAGCCAUGGGCAGGUUGAAGGUUGGGUAACACUAACUGGAGGACCGAACCGACUAAUGUUGAAAAAUUAGCGGAUGACUUGUGGCUGGGGGUGAAAGGCCAAUCAAACCGGGAGAUAGCUGGUUCUCCCCGAAAGCUAUUUAGGUAGCGCCUCGUGAACUCAUCUUCGGGGGUAGAGCACUGUUUCGGCUAGGGGGUCAUCCCGACUUACCAACCCGAUGCAAACUACGAAUACCGAAGAAUGUUAUCACGGGAGACACACGGCGGGUGCUAACGUCCGUCGUGAAGAGGGAAACAACCCAGACCGCCAGCUAAGGUCCCAAAGUCAUGGUUAAGUGGGAAACGAUGUGGGAAGGCACAGACAGCCAGGAUGUUGGCUUAGAAGCAGCCAUCAUUUAAAGAAAGCGUAAUAGCUCACUGGUCGAGUCGGCCUGCGCGGAAGAUGUAACGGGGCUAAACCAUGCACCGAAGCUGCGGCAGCGACACUAUGUGUUGUUGGGUAGGGGAGCGUUCUGUAAGCCUGCGAAGGUGUGCUGUGAGGCAUGCUGGAGGUAUCAGAAGUGCGAAUGCUGACAUAAGUAACGAUAAAGCGGGUGAAAAGCCCGCUCGCCGGAAGACCAAGGGUUCCUGUCCAACGUUAAUCGGGGCAGGGUGAGUCGACCCCUAAGGCGAGGCCGAAAGGCGUAGUCGAUGGGAAACAGGUUAAUAUUCCUGUACUUGGUGUUACUGCGAAGGGGGGACGGAGAAGGCUAUGUUAGCCGGGCGACGGUUGUCCCGGUUUAAGCAUGUAGGCUGGUUGUCCAGGCAAAUCCGGAUAAUCAAGGCUGAGGUGUGAUGACGAGGCACUACGGUGCUGAAGUAACAAAUGCCCUGCUUCCAGGAAAAGCCUCUAAGCAUCAGGUAACAUCAAAUCGUACCCCAAACCGACACAGGUGGUCAGGUAGAGAAUACCAAGGCGCUUGAGAGAACUCGGGUGAAGGAACUAGGCAAAAUGGUGCCGUAACUUCGGGAGAAGGCACGCUGGUGUGUAGGUGAAGCCCCUGCGGGUGGAGCUGAGACCAGUCGAAGAUACCAGCUGGCUGCAACUGUUUAUUAAAAACACAGCACUGUGCAAACACGAAAGUGGACGUAUACGGUGUGACGCCUGCCCGGUGCCGGAAGGUUAAUUGAUGGGGUUAUCCGUAAGGAGAAGCUCUUGAUCGAAGCCCCGGUAAACGGCGGCCGUAACUAUAACGGUCCUAAGGUAGCGAAAUUCCUUGUCGGGUAAGUUCCGACCUGCACGAAUGGCGUAAUGAUGGCCAGGCUGUCUCCACCCGAGACUCAGUGAAAUUGAACUCGCUGUGAAGAUGCAGUGUACCCGCGGCAAGACGGAAAGACCCCGUGAACCUUUACUAUAGCUUGACACUGAACAUUGAGCCUUGAUGUGUAGGAUAGGUGGGAGGCUUUGAAGCGUGGACGCCAGUCUGCGUGGAGCCAACCUUGAAAUACCACCCUUUAAUGUUUGAUGUUCUAACGUUGGCCCCUGACCGGGGUUGCGGACAGUGUCUGGUGGGUAGUUUGACUGGGGCGGUCUCCUCCCAAAGCGUAACGGAGGAGCACGAAGGUUAGCUAAUCCUGGUCGGACAUCAGGAGGUUAGUGCAAUGGCAUAAGCUAGCUUGACUGCGAGCGUGACGGCGCGAGCAGGUGCGAAAGCAGGUCAUAGUGAUCCGGUGGUUCUGAAUGGAAGGGCCAUCGCUCAACGGAUAAAAGGUACUCCGGGGAUAACAGGCUGAUACCGCCCAAGAGUUCAUAUCGACGGCGGUGUUUGGCACCUCGAUGUCGGCUCAUCACAUCCUGGGGCUGAAGUAGGUCCCAAGGGUAUGGCUGUUCGCCAUUUAAAGUGGUACGCGAGCUGGGUUUAGAACGUCGUGAGACAGUUCGGUCCCUAUCUGCCGUGGGCGCUGGAGAAUUGAGGGGGGCUGCUCCUAGUACGAGAGGACCGGAGUGGACGCAUCACUGGUGUUCGGGUUGUCAUGCCAAUGGCACUGCCCGGUAGCUAAAUGCGGAAGAGAUAAGUGCUGAAAGCAUCUAAGCACGAAACUUGCCCCGAGAUGAGUUCUCCCUGAGACUUUAAGUCUCCUGAAGGAACGUUAAAGACGAUGACGUUGAUAGGCCGGGUGUGUAAGCGCAGCGAUGCGUUGAGCUAACCGGUACUAAUGAACCGUGAGGCUUAACCUU